RNAcentral lists this ribosomal RNA (497 nucleotides) under uncultured bacterium. Its description in RNAcentral is "partial 16S ribosomal RNA". It matches the Rfam family "Bacterial small subunit ribosomal RNA", at positions 28 to 507 of the family's 1533-position model. The record is from RNAcentral.
GAUGAACGCUGGCGGCGUGCCUAAUACAUGCAAGUCGAGCGAACAGACGAUGAGCUUGCUCCUCUGACGAUAGCGGCGGACGGGUGAGUAACACGUGGAUAACCUACCUAUAAUACUUGGAUAACUUCGUGAAACCGGAGCUAAUACCGGAUAAUAUAUUGAACCGCAUGGUUCAAUAGUUAAAGACGGUUUUGCUGUCACUUAUAGAUGGAUCCGCGCCGCAUUAGCUAGUUGGUAAGGUAACGGCUUACCAAGGCGACGAUGCGUAGCCGACCUGAGAGGGUGAUCGGCCACACUGGAACUGAGACACGGUCCAGACUCCUACGGGAGGCAGCAGUAGGGAAUCUUCCGCAAUGGGCGAAAGCCUGACGGAGCAACGCCGCGUGAGUGAUGAAGGUCUUCGGAUCGUAAAACUCUGUUAUUAGGGAAGAAAAAAUGUGUAAGUAACUAUGCACGUCUUGACGGUACCUAAUCAGAAAGCCACGGCUAACUACGUG